GUCCUUAGUUACCAGCACGUUAUGGUGGGCACUCUAAGGAGACUGCCGGUGACAACCGAGGAAGGUGGGGAUGACGUCAAGUCAUCAUGGCCCUUACGGCCUGGGCUACACACGUGCUACAAUGGUCGGUCAAAGGGUUGCCAAGCCGCGAGGUGGAGCUAAUCCCAUAAAACCGAUCGUAGUCCGGAUCGCAGUCUGCAACUCGACUGCGUGAAGUCGGAAUCGCUAGUAAUCGUGAAUCAGAAUGUCACGGUGAAUACGUUCCCGGGCCUU
RNAcentral lists this ribosomal RNA (273 nucleotides) under uncultured Pseudomonas sp. RNAcentral's name for it is "partial 16S ribosomal RNA". It matches the Rfam family "Bacterial small subunit ribosomal RNA", at positions 1107 to 1382 of the family's 1533-position model. Lineage: Bacteria; Pseudomonadati; Pseudomonadota; Gammaproteobacteria; Pseudomonadales; Pseudomonadaceae. The record is from RNAcentral.